This 496-nucleotide ribosomal RNA is filed under the name uncultured bacterium. RNAcentral's name for it is "bacterial SSU rRNA". It matches the Rfam family "Bacterial small subunit ribosomal RNA", at positions 43 to 518 of the family's 1533-position model. The record is from RNAcentral.
CGCACAUAAGACAUGCAAGUCGAACGGAAGUCGCUAAGAAACAGAUUGACGAUUUAUCUGAUUGAAGUUCAUAGCAAUGACUUUAGUGGCGGACUGGUGAGUAACACGUAAGCAACCUGCCUAUCAGAGGGGAAUAACAGUGAGAAAUCGAUUGCUAAUACCGCAUAAGCUAGUAGUAUCGCAUGGUACAGCUAGAAAAGGAGCAAUCCGCUGAUAGAUGGGCUUGAACGUCUGAUUAGCUAGUUGGUGGGGUAACGGCCUACCAAGGCAACGAUCAGUAGCCGGACUGAGAGGUUGAACGGCCACAUUGGGACUGAGAUACGGCCCAGACUCCUACGGGAGGCAGCAGUCGGGAAUAUUGCGCAAUGGAGGAAACUCUGACGCAAGUGACGCCGCGUAUAGGAAGAAGGUUUUCGGAUUGUAAACUAUUGUCGUGAGGGAAGAAGAUGACAGUACCUCAGGAGGAAGCUCCGGCUAACUAUGUGCCAGCAGCCGC